UGAAUACGAGAUGCUACGGCGUCGAAGCAGUCUAUGUCAUACUUCCAAGAAAAGCUUGCACUGUCAUAAACAAAUAAUGCCUGUACCAUAACCGACACAGGUGGGUAGGUAGAGUAUACUAAGGGGCGCGAGAUAACUCUCUCUAAGGAACUCGGCAAAAUGACUCCGUAACUUCGGGAGAAGGAGUGCCUUAUUUAUAAGGUUGCAAUAACAAGAUCCAAGCAACUGUUUACCAAAAACACAGGUCUCCGCUAAGUCGUAAGACGAUGUAUGGGGGCUGACGCCUGCCCAGUGCCAGAAGGUUAAAGAAGUUGGUUAGCAUCCGCGAAGCUGAUAACUGAAGCCCUGGUGAACGGCGGCCGUAACACUAACGGUCCUAAGGUAGCGAAAUUCCUUGUCGGGUAAGUUCCGACCCGCACGAAAGGCGUAAUGAUUUGGAUACUGUCUCGGAGAGGGGCUCGGUGAAAUAGACUUGUCUGUGAAGAUGCGGACUACCUGCACCAGGACAGAAAGACCCUAUGAAGCUUUACUGUAACCUGAAAUUGAAAUUGGACUUUACUUGCGCAGUAUAGGUGGGAGGCGUUGAGAAUAUUCUUGCGGGAUUAUUGGAGCCAUCAGUGAGAUACCACUCUUGUAAUGUUAGAUUUCUAACUUUGUAUCAUUAUCUGGUCAAAGGACAGUUUCAGGCGGGCAGUUUGACUGGGGCGGUCGCCUCCUAAACGGUAACGGAGGCGCACAAAGGUUUCCUCUGAACGGGUAGAAAUCGUAUCUAGAGUGUAAAGGCAUAAGGAAGCUUGACUGUGAGACCUACAAGUCGAGCAGGGACGAAAGUCGGUCUUAGUGAUCUGACGGUGCUGAGUGGAAAGGCCGUCACUCAACGGAUAAAAGUUACUCUAGGAUAACAGGCUGAUCUCCCCCAAGAGUUCACAUCGACGGGGAGGUUUGGCACCUCGAUGUCGGCUCAUCGCAUCCUGGGGCGGUAGUACGUCCCAAGGGUUGGGCUGUUCGCCCAUGAAAGCGGUACGCGAGCUGGGUUCAGAACGUCGUGAGACAGUUCGGUCCAUAUCCGGUGUAGGCGUUAGAAUAUUGAGAGGAGCCUUCUUUAGUACGAGAGGACCGAGAAGGACAUACCUCUGGUGUACCAGUUAUCGUGCCAACGGUAAACGCUGGGUAGCUAUGUGUGGAGUGGAUAACCGCUGAAAGCAUCUAAGUGGGAAGCCCACCUCAAGAUAAG
RNAcentral lists this ribosomal RNA (1234 nucleotides) under metagenome. RNAcentral's name for it is "bacterial LSU rRNA". It matches the Rfam family "Bacterial large subunit ribosomal RNA", at positions 1564 to 2808 of the family's 2925-position model. The record is from RNAcentral.